AUCUCAUGGACUGCGCCUUGA
Molecule: small nuclear RNA, 21 nt
Filed under: Arabidopsis thaliana (thale cress)
Lineage: Eukaryota; Viridiplantae; Streptophyta; Magnoliopsida; Brassicales; Brassicaceae
Description: snRNA_04270
Source: RNAcentral